This 519-nucleotide long non-coding RNA is filed under the name Populus trichocarpa (black cottonwood). RNAcentral describes it as "long non-coding RNA (PTRI_LNC001891)". The record is from RNAcentral. Lineage: Eukaryota; Viridiplantae; Streptophyta; Magnoliopsida; Malpighiales; Salicaceae.
UUCCCGAUCCACCGGUUUCUGCCACCUUCAUCGGCGGCGGCGCGUGAAUCCACGCGCCGCCAGUGACGGUGGCGCCAGUUCCACGCGCCGCCACUGUUCUGGCAGCUCCAGAAGUCGGCCUGAUACUGUUCCGGGUUGUUUGGUUCAUUUUGUAAUUUUCAAAUUGUUUAAUGUAAUAUUUGUGUAAUUUUGAGUUUUUUUUAUAAUUUGUACUUUGUGUAAAUGUGGAGGAAAAAGAAAAAAGAAAAGAAAAGAAAAGAGAAGAAAAAAAAACAAAUAAUAAUAGAAAAAGAGUUGUGCGUGUUUUGUUUUUUUUUUGUUAUGUAUGUUAUUGAAUAAAAAGAAAAAAAAUGAAUUUAAUUUAUAUGCACAAAUAUCUAAAGGACAGAUAAAAAUCAUGUUGUAUUUUCCACAAAAAUGUAGAACAUGUAUCUACAUAUAUUUUGGGAACUAAUAACUGAUUUAUCAAAGCCUUAGAAUUGGGCUAAAAUUUUAUUUUUAAAUCACAUCAAGUCCACG